Molecule: ribosomal RNA, 531 nt
Filed under: uncultured bacterium
Lineage: Bacteria
Description: bacterial SSU rRNA
Rfam family: Bacterial small subunit ribosomal RNA
Source: RNAcentral
CCUUGACAUACUAAGAACUUUCCAGAGAUGGAUUGGUGCCUUCGGGAACUUAGAUACAGGUGCUGCAUGGCUGUCGUCAGCUCGUGUCGUGAGAUGUUGGGUUAAGUCCCGNAACGAGCGCAACCCUUUUCCUAUUUGCCAGCGGGUCAUGCCGGGAACUUUUAAGGAUACUGCCAGUGACAAACUGGAGGAAGGCGGGGACGACGUCAAGUCAUCAUGGCCCUUACGGCCAGGGCUACACACGUGCUACAAUGGUCGGUACAAAGGGUUGCUACCUCGCGAGAGGAUGCUAAUCUCAAAAAGCCGAUCGUAGUCCGGAUCGCAGUCUGCAACUCGGCUGCGUGAAGUCGGAAUCGCUAGUAAUCGCGGAUCAGAAUGCCGCGGUGAAUACGUUCCCGGGCCUUGUACACACCGCCCGUCACACCAUGGGAGUUUGUUGCACCAGAAGUAGGUAGUCUAACCGCAAGGAGGACGCUUACCACGGUGUGGCCGAUGACUGGGGUGAAGUCGUAACAAGGUAGGCGUAGAUGA